UGGAGGGCAUGGUUUUCCUUUUGGGGAUGGUGUAACUGGAGGAACAGUAAUUGGUGGAACUGUCACUGGCGGAAUUCCUAUAGGUGGCAAGUUGAUAGGAGGUUUUACAAUAGGUGGUAUACCAAUUGGUGGCUUAACAACUGGUGGAACUGUCACCGGUGGAAUUCCGAUAGGUGGCUUAAUAACUGGUGGAAUAAUGGGUGGCAAGUUGAUAGGAGGUUUAAUAACCGGUGGAACUGUCACUGGUGGAAUUCCGAUAGGUGGCUUAAUAACUGGUGGAACAACAGGUGGCAAAUUGAUGGGUGGUUUUACAACUGGUGGAACUGUCACUGGUGGAAUUCCGAUAGGCGGCUUAAUAACUGGUGGAACAACGGGUGGCAAGUUGAUGGGUGGUUUUACAAUCGGUGGAACUGUCACUGGUGGAAUUCCAAUGGGUGGCAAAUUGAUAGGGGGUUUAAUACUUGGAGAGGGAGUUUUGGGCUUUUUGGGU
Molecule: long non-coding RNA, 490 nt
Filed under: Nicotiana tabacum (common tobacco)
Lineage: Eukaryota; Viridiplantae; Streptophyta; Magnoliopsida; Solanales; Solanaceae
Description: long non-coding RNA (NTAB_LNC001668)
Source: RNAcentral